RNAcentral lists this ribosomal RNA (253 nucleotides) under uncultured bacterium. RNAcentral's name for it is "partial 16S ribosomal RNA". It matches the Rfam family "Bacterial small subunit ribosomal RNA", at positions 524 to 776 of the family's 1533-position model. The record is from RNAcentral.
UACGUAGGGUGCAAGCGUUGUCCGGAAUUAUUGGGCGUAAAGAGCUCGUAGGCGGUUUGUUGCGUCGGCUGUGAAAUCCCGAGGCUCAACCUCGGGUCUGCAGUCGAUACGAGCAAACUAGAGUGUUGCAGGGGAGACUGGAAUUCCUGGUGUAGCGGUGAAAUGCGCAGAUAUCAGGAGAAACACCGAUGGCGAAGGCAGGUCUCUGGGCAUUAACUGACGCUGAGGAGCGAAAGCAUGGGGAGCGAACAGG